This is a long non-coding RNA of Choloepus didactylus (southern two-toed sloth), 843 nucleotides long. RefSeq lists it as uncharacterized. Lineage: Eukaryota; Metazoa; Chordata; Mammalia; Pilosa; Megalonychidae. The record is from RefSeq and is a predicted model, not a curated record. The transcript is spliced from 3 exons.
GCCACUGAAUUGUUCACUUUAAAAUAGUUAAUUUUAUGUCAUGUCAAUUUCACUUCAAUAAAUUAUUAUUUUUUUAAAUAGAAGAAUAAGUAUAGUGUCUGCCCAGAGAUCUUCCAUUUGCCCCUCCAGAUCCACCCUCCUUCUGUUUUUACCCUCUCCAUCCCUGGAAGGCUGACCAGCAAGGAUCACAUCACAGAAUUCCAUGCCCUCUGGCUUCCAGCUGCUUUGGACCCUGGGCAGCCCCUGCAGAUUUGGAGGGAGAUGGGAGAUGUGUUCCUGACUUCCUCCCCGAGCAGUCUUCUUGAGCUGGCUGGUCCCUCCACAAAAGAUGAUAAUAAUUAACUUCCCCAUGUGACAGAGGAAAUGAGCAUUGAUGAUUCAGUAGAGAUGCCCAUUGAAAGGGAACUGGAACUGUGAAAUAUGACAGGGCUCCUCACACUAAGUCCACAUGGAAAAUCAAUUUUGUUUAAUGCUCUCUUACUUGCCCACUCCAAAGAACUCUAGUGCAUUCAUCCUGAGCUGCCGGAGGGAAAGGCUCACCUGGCAAGGAGCUGAGGGCAGCCUACAGCUGACAGCAAUCCAGAAACUGAGGCCUUCAGCCCACAAGGAACUUCCUCUUUCCACAACUGCUGGGAAGUUGAUCCUGCCCCAGCUGAGCUUUGGAAUGGCAGCAGCCCAGAUGCUACCUCGAUUGCACCCAGGAGAGACCUGGAUGCAGAGGAUCCAGCUAAUCUGGGCCAGAUUCGGAUCCACAGAAACUGGUUGAUAAAAACUUGUUUUUCAAACCCCUACACUUUGGAGUCAUUUGCUUCAUGGCAAAAGAUAAUUAAUAUAUUUUCUUUU